CAGCAACUUGGGGGAAUGCCUUCUUAGUAUAAUAAAUUAAUAUAUUAGAAUUUUUUUAAUAUAUUUAUUUUUAUUAUAAUUAAGAAUUCAAGAAAUUUGAAUGUAAUUCUAGGUAAAAUAUUGAUAAUGACAAAGUUUUAUCUAUACGUCUUGACCAAAUCUUGUGCCAGCAGUCGCGGCAACACAAGGAAGACAAGUGUUAUUCAUCUUAAAUCGGUUUAAGGGGUACCUAGACGGUAAAUUAGCCCUUAAAUGUGGAACGUUUUACUAGAGUUAUAUAUGCAUGAGGAUUAUAUGUGAGUAUUACCAGAGUAGAGAUGGAAUUUUUUGAUACUGUUAAGACUGGUAAAGGCAAAAGCAAACCUUUAUAUAUUAACUGACGUUGAGGGACGAAGGCUUGGGUAGCAAACAGGAUUAGAUACCCUAAUAGUCCAGGCAGAGAAUUAUGAAUGUUAUAGAUUAU
RNAcentral lists this ribosomal RNA (463 nucleotides) under Campylothelium puiggarii. Its description in RNAcentral is "mitochondrial SSU rRNA". It matches the Rfam family "Bacterial small subunit ribosomal RNA", at positions 389 to 826 of the family's 1533-position model. The record is from RNAcentral. Lineage: Eukaryota; Fungi; Ascomycota; Dothideomycetes; Trypetheliales; Trypetheliaceae.